Molecule: non-coding RNA, 777 nt
Filed under: Neodiprion huizeensis
Lineage: Eukaryota; Metazoa; Arthropoda; Insecta; Hymenoptera; Diprionidae
Source: RNAcentral
UUAAAGUUUGAUUUUGGCUUUUAUAUUAGUAUUAUAAUUUUUUUGCAUGUAUAUUUUUGUAGGUUAAAAAUUUUUUUGCAGCAUUUAGUUUUAAUAAUUAAAGAAAUUUAGAAUUAUGAAUUAUAUUGUUUAAGUAUUGACAAAGAAAUUGUGCCAGCAGUAGCGGUUAAACGUUCUAAUACGAAUUAAUGUUUUUAAUUAAUAAAUUAUAUUUUUUUAUUAUAUUAUAAAAAUAAAUUUUAAGGUGAAAUUAAAUUUAUUUUUAAAUAUAAAUAUAAAUAUAAAUAUAAAUAUAUUAUUUUAUGAAACCUAUAAUAAAAACUAGGAUUAGAUACCCUAUUAUUUUAGAUGUUAAAAUUAUAUUUUAAUUAUUAAUAGUUAUGAUCUUGAAAAUUAAAAAAAUUGGCGGUAUUUAAAACUAAUUAGGGGAAUUUGUUUAUUAAACGAUGCUCCGCGAGAAAUCUUACUUUAAUUAAUUUAGUUUAUUUAUUUUCGUUAUCAGAAUAUUUUUUUAGAAUAAAAAUUUUCAAAAAAUUUUAUAAAUAAAAUCUUAAUUCAGAUCAAGAUGUAGCUUAUAUUAAAGUUUAAAUGAAUUACAAUAAAAAUUAUAUUUUUGGAUAUAAAUUGAAAUAUUUAUUUAAAAUGGACUUAAUAGUAAAAUUUAAAAUUAUAUAAGUUUGAAUUUAGAAUUAAAUGUGUACAAAUCGCCCGUCACUCUCAUUAAAAUUGAGAUAAGUCGUAACAUAGUAAAUGUAUUGGAAAAUGCAUUUAGAAUUU